ACGAUAUUCUAGACUUCGGUGUUAGAUGAAAGUGGCGCACGGGUGCGUAAUGCGUAUGCUACCUACCCUUUACAGGAGAAUAGCUCGGGGAAACUCGAAUUAAUACCCGAUGGUAUCAUAAGAUCGCAUGAUUUAAUGAUUAAAGAUUUAUCGGUAAAAGAUGGGCAUGCGUCUGAUUAGCUAGAUGGCGGGGUAACGGCCCACCAUGGCGAUGAUCAGUAGGGGUUCUGAGAGGAUGAUCCCCCACACUGGUACUGAGACACGGACCAGACUCCUACGGGAGGCAGCAGUAGGGAAUAUUGGACAAUGGGCGAGAGCCUGAUCCAGCCAUGCCGCGUGUAGGAUGACGGCCUUCUGGGUUGUAAACUACUUUUCUACAGGAAGAAAAAGUCCAUGCGUGGACAAUUGACGGUACUGUAGGAAUAAGCACCGGCUAACUCCGUGCCAGCAGCCGCGGUAAUACGGAGGGUGCGAGCGUUGUCCGGAUUUAUUGGGUUUAAAGGGUGCGUAGGCGGCUCUUUAAGUCAGUGGUGAAAGCCCGCAGCUUAACUGUGGAACUGCCAUUGAUACUGGAGAGCUUGAGUACGGUUGAAGUAGGCGGAAUUUAUGGUGUAGCGGUGAAAUGCAUAGAUACCAUAAAGAACACCGAUAGCGUAGGCAGCUUACUAAGCCGUAACUGACGCUGAGGCACGAAAGCAUGGGGAGCGAACAGGAUUAGAUACCCUGGUAGUCCAUGCCGUAAACGAUGAUCACUCGCUGUUAGCGAUAUACUGUUAGCGGCCAAGCGAAAGCGUUAAGUGAUCCACCUGGGGAGUACGUCCGCAAGGAUGAAACUCAAAGGAAUUGACGGGGGUCCGCACAAGCGGUGGAGCAUGUGGUUUAACUCGAUGAUACGCGAGGAACCUUACCUGGGCUAGAAUGCCCUUGACAGCUUUAGAGAUAGAGUUUCCUUCGGGACAAGGUGCAGGUGCUGCAUGGCUGUCGUCAGCUCGUGC
Molecule: ribosomal RNA, 995 nt
Filed under: uncultured bacterium
Lineage: Bacteria
Description: bacterial SSU rRNA
Rfam family: Bacterial small subunit ribosomal RNA
Source: RNAcentral